Molecule: ribosomal RNA, 253 nt
Filed under: uncultured bacterium
Lineage: Bacteria
Description: partial 16S ribosomal RNA
Rfam family: Bacterial small subunit ribosomal RNA
Source: RNAcentral
CACGGGGGGAGCAAGCGUUGUUCGGAAUCACUGGGCGUAAAGGGCGUGUAGGCGGUCUGGUAAGUGGGAUGUGAAAGCCCCCGGCUCACCCGGGGAUCUGCAUUCCAAACUGCCAGACUUGAGUAUGGGAGAGGACAGGGGAAUUCCUGGUGUAGCGGUGAAAUGCGUAGAUAUCAGGAGGAACACCGGUGGCGAAAGCGCCUGUCUGGCCCAAUACUGACGCUGAUGCGCGAAAGCUAGGUGAGCAAACGGG